UAGAGGCGGCAAGCGUUGUCCGGAAUUAUUGGGCGUAAAGAGCUCGUAGGCGGUUUGUCGCGUCUGCUGUGAAAGCCCGGGGCUCAACCCCGGGUCUGCAGUGGGUACGGGCAGACUAGAGUGCAGUAGGGGAGACUGGAAUUCCUGGUGUAGCGGUGAAAUGCGCAGAUAUCAGGAGGAACACCGAUGGCGAAGGCAGGUCUCUGGGCUGUUACUGACGCUGAGGAGCGAAAGCAUGGGGAGCGAACAGGAUUAAUACCCCGUGUAGUC
RNAcentral lists this ribosomal RNA (270 nucleotides) under uncultured bacterium. Its description in RNAcentral is "partial 16S ribosomal RNA". It matches the Rfam family "Bacterial small subunit ribosomal RNA", at positions 526 to 795 of the family's 1533-position model. The record is from RNAcentral.